Molecule: microRNA, 20 nt
Filed under: Macaca mulatta (Rhesus monkey)
Lineage: Eukaryota; Metazoa; Chordata; Mammalia; Primates; Cercopithecidae
Description: mml-miR-920 (MIR920)
Source: RNAcentral
GGGGAGCUGUAGAAGCGGUA